AGUUACAACUCAUUCCCGAAAGGAUUCAUAAUAAUGAAGAUGCCUUGUAACCAAUUAUUAAAAGAUAGUGGGGGAAUUAAA
RNAcentral lists this small RNA (81 nucleotides) under uncultured Ligilactobacillus sp. RNAcentral's name for it is "SMK box translational riboswitch (SAM-III)". It matches the Rfam family "SAM-III riboswitch aptamer (SMK box)". The record is from RNAcentral. Lineage: Bacteria; Bacillati; Bacillota; Bacilli; Lactobacillales; Lactobacillaceae.